Long non-coding RNA from Panicum virgatum (switchgrass), 389 nucleotides. RefSeq lists it as uncharacterized. The record is from RefSeq and is a predicted model, not a curated record. The transcript has 2 exons. NCBI's taxonomy places the organism in Eukaryota, Viridiplantae, Streptophyta, Magnoliopsida, Poales, Poaceae.
UUGUGCUGGAGCCCAUCACGGAGAUCUCUAGUGCUGUCAAGCUGCUGAGCUCCAAGUCGAUCUCCUACCGAGGUGAGGAAACUCUUCCUCUCUCUAUUUGUCUGCAGGUUGAAUGUGUGGGAGAUGAUGGGGAGGAGCAGGAUGGCUUGCAGAUGAUGAAGGACCUGAAUCUAGUCUUCCAUGAUGCUAGCAACCUAUUCGAUCUAAUGCUGGAAUGAUUAUGGACGAGAAGGUCCAAUGGAUGCAAAGAUGAAAACACGAGUGUAAUAACUAGCUAUUCAAUGUGCUUCUCAAUUUUAAACCUGAGAUGUAAUUUUUUGACAUGAUGUAACUUGAGAUACUUGCUCUAAAUAUAUACUAUAAUUUCUGGGUUGGAACUAUUGUUUUCA